This 462-nucleotide ribosomal RNA is filed under the name uncultured bacterium. RNAcentral's name for it is "partial 16S ribosomal RNA". It matches the Rfam family "Bacterial small subunit ribosomal RNA", at positions 28 to 507 of the family's 1533-position model. The record is from RNAcentral.
GACGAACGCUGGCGGCGUGCUUAACACAUGCAAGUCGAGCGGAAAGGCCCUUCGGGGUACUCGAGCGGCGAACGGGUGAGUAACACGUGAGUAACCUGCCCCAGACUUUGGGAUAACCCUCGGAAACGGGGGCUAAUACCGGAUACGACACAGCUUCGCAUGGGGUCUGUGUGGAAAGUUUUUCGGUUUGGGAUGGGCUCGCGGCCUAUCAGCUUGUUGGUGGGGUGAUGGCCUACCAAGGCGACGACGGGUAGCCGGCCUGAGAGGGCGACCGGCCACACUGGGACUGAGACACGGCCCAGACUCCUACGGGAGGCAGCAGUUGGGAAUAUUGCACAAUGGGCGGAAGCCUGAUGCAGCGACGCCGCGUGAGGGAUGACGGCCUUCGGGUUGUAAACCUCUUUCAGCAGGGACGAAGCGUAAGUGACGGUACCUGCAGAAGAAGCGCCGGCCAACUACGUG